CUUUUUGCUACACCCUCACGACUAAUGACAACACUUAAUUCCCUUAAGCACUCUCAUUAGCCGCGCGAGUCCCUGUAGCGGAAGAGGUUAAAAUUUCAGAAACAGAACUUAAGUUUUUAACGUCCCGCUUCCCGCUUCGCUUCCUAGAAGAAAAGGGGCCCUAUUAGGCCCCUUUUC
RNAcentral lists this small RNA (177 nucleotides) under Xenorhabdus bovienii str. oregonense. RNAcentral's name for it is "SraG". It matches the Rfam family "SraG RNA". Rfam says of the family: This RNA was discovered in E. coli during a large scale screen. Evidence was found for specific cleavage of this RNA. Lineage: Bacteria; Pseudomonadati; Pseudomonadota; Gammaproteobacteria; Enterobacterales; Morganellaceae. The record is from RNAcentral.